This is a long non-coding RNA of Bactrocera tryoni, 178 nucleotides long. RefSeq lists it as uncharacterized. Lineage: Eukaryota; Metazoa; Arthropoda; Insecta; Diptera; Tephritidae. The record is from RefSeq and is a predicted model, not a curated record. The transcript is spliced from 2 exons.
UAAUGUUCCUAAUUAGUUGGCAACUCAGUUUUAAACGCAUCAGAUGUUUAAAGCGUGCAUCAAUUUUAUUUGGUAUGCAGAACAGACAAUGGCAGAAGAAAAAAGUGGACACACGAGUGGAAGAAAUUAUUAAUAACAACAAGGCUUCGCCAUGAAGCAGAAUUUUCCGGCAAAAAAA